AACUUUUAGCAACGGAUCACGCAUCGAUGAAGAACGCAGCGAAAUGCGAUACGUAAUGUGAAUUGCAGAAUUCAGAGAAUCAUCGAAUCUUUGAACGCACCUUGCGCCCCUUGGUAUUCCGAGGUGCACACCCGUUUCAGAGUCGUGAAAAUCUCAACCUUCUCGGUUCCUUCUGGACACCGAAGGAGGCUUGGACUUUGGAGGCCUUUGCUAUCGUCUCUCGCCAGCUCCUCUCAAAUGAAUUAGCGGGGUCCUCUUUGCCGAUCCUCGACAUGUGAUAAGAUGUUUCCAUGUCUUGGUUUGUGGCUCUGUUGCUUUUGGGACCCGCUUCUAACCGUCUUGGAGAGACAACGUUUGAGCACGUCUCCCCUCUUUCGGGGGAAACGCUCUCGAACCCACGAACCCUUGACCUCAAAUCGGGUGAGACUACCCGCUGAACUUAAGCAUAUCAAUAAGCGGAGGCU
RNAcentral lists this unclassified non-coding RNA (464 nucleotides) under uncultured Lactarius. RNAcentral describes it as "sequence contains ITS2". The stretch from base 1 to 145 matches the Rfam family "5.8S ribosomal RNA". Lineage: Eukaryota; Fungi; Basidiomycota; Agaricomycetes; Russulales; Russulaceae. The record is from RNAcentral.